This 3374-nucleotide long non-coding RNA is filed under the name Mus musculus (house mouse). RNAcentral's name for it is "long non-coding RNA chr16:43635617-43638991". The record is from RNAcentral. Lineage: Eukaryota; Metazoa; Chordata; Mammalia; Rodentia; Muridae.
GAAACUUCCAUUUUCUUAUUACCAAAUCCAACAAUUACUUCUCUUUGUUUCUCCCCAGUACUGAAUCAUAAGCUUAUUAAUCACUCAUGAGCUAGGAAUAUCUAGUAAAGAGCCUCUGCCUUGACAGUGUUGCUGGCCUUCUCUGUCCAUCACGGGUGAACAACGAGGGGUAAUAGGGAGACUAGACUGGCCCAGCUCUUAUGGAAGCCAGAGUCUGGAUUUCACACCUAUAAGGAGAUGACACCUAUUUACCCAGAACACAUAGUCUGCAGCUCAUCUUAAAAGACGCUUAGGAACAAAAGGAAGUUCCUGUGUUACAGCAAACAGAUGCGGUAGUACCCAAAGCUUACCUGUCUCUUCUCUCUCCUCUCUUCCGUCUUACUGCCAUGUCCUCUCAACGAGACUUAAACUUCAUCUCAUGAAUGGCACCAGAAGAACUAUUUGACUCCUUGGCUUCUCUCUUUUUCAGUAGGCUGGUAGCUCAUUCAAAAUUAAAACCAAGCAAAUACUAUUAGUGGCUAGCCCCCUGAGGGCUGAACAAUUUCCCAAGUGUCUUGAUGAUCCCAAUAUCUUGAUAAUCAACUCUGAUAACUUGGAAGUUUUGGCUGGCUCAGACAUCUGUCAACUUUAUUUUCAUUUUGUCUCCAUUUCCAUUUGAAUCUUAAGUGAGAGUGGAAAGGUAGAAUCAUGGGAAAGAUUGUGAGGCUGCAAUUCUAGGGUAGAGUUUGUCAGAAGUUUGUAUUAUCCCAAAUAGAAAUUUCUAUACUUACUUUCAAUUUAAUGUUACCCUGAAUAUAAUUUCUAUUACAUUUAUUGUUAUUUUUAUAAAAAUAGAGUUCAAUUACUAUGUCUAGUUGAGUGCUCUCUUUUCUAUUUUCCCACAUGGAUGCAGUACCAACCUGUUACCUAAAUAUCUUUUUAUUAUAUUGUUAAUAUGUAAUUCUACUGUAGACCAAAAAUAUAAAAACAAAUUUGCUCAUUUUAAACAUAUACAGACUCUAAUGAGUAAAGAUGAGGAGAAAAGACCAGAGAGCAGUGGUUGACUAUGUUGUUAGAAAUCAAAGAGUAGCCUUACCUAUUUUUAACCAGUGCUUGCCGUCACACCAUAGUUAGGACUAUGUUAGCAUGGCUUCUUCAUGCUUACGUUCUGCAAGCCUUGUCUGUCUGUUUCCUUUGAUGUGUUCGAGGUUGCACAAUGAUGCUAUUGUUUUUUUCUUUUGGUAAUGCCUGAUUUUAUUAUAAUGUACUUUAUCAGUCAUUUCCUUUAGAAGAAUGAGGGGGAAAGUUUUAUUUCUUCUUUUAAUUUAAAUUUUGUUUAAUGCACUGGAAAUAAAAUUGGACACAUUUCACUGUUUAAAAAUCAGAAACGAAACAAAACAAAACCCCGAAGAAAAAACCAGCAAACAAGUAAGUAAUAGGAUACACACACAUACAAAAAAGCUAUGAAAAAUAUUCUGUUCAUACAAAAUAUAGGCUAUAUCUCACAUGAGAGAUAAAUACUGUCAAGUAAUAAAAAGACAUUGUCAACUACAGUGCUGAAAACUAUAAGAGGAACCUAGGUGUACAGUGUGUGGGGAAAACUACGAAUCCUUUCUGAGGCGAGAUCUUUCCAUUGUUCCAAUAAAAACCUAAGCAAGUUGAAUGUGGAAGUCGGUAAGUAGGGAGCACCCCGCCUUCUUUACACCAGCGGACCUCUGGGUUACUUUCUACCAUGGGUCUCAGCCACAUACACAUACACACGCACGCACUCAUGUGCACACACUCAAUACUUGAGAAGGAUUUGUGAAAAUGUACAUACCCAGUACACAGAUGUACACAGUGCUCUGACAGCCCUCAAGCUCUUCUGAGGCUUAGCAGUGAUGGGUCCACAACAUGGAAUACUGAAAGGGAUUCACUGAGAUCUACGUGUGCUAAUAAAGUGCUUGAAGCCAGCCUGGUCUCUUCCCCAGCAUCCCCUAGUCCAAGGCCAGCUGCCACACACACAUGGACAGAGAAAGGCGAGACACCGGUUACUUCUCCUAGCCAACUGGCUCAUUAUUAUUUGCUGAAUAUUUGCUGGAUUUUUCUGGUUUUGUUCUGUUUUAGAAUGGGGUGGGAGUGGAUGUUAUGUCACAAUCCUAAUACAGUAAAGUUUUGCAUCUUCCAUAUCUUAUGCAAAAACAGACAUUUAAAUCAAUAAAUAGUUGUGCCCUAGACUGAAAGUUAAUGUUUAGGAGAGGGAAAAAUUGUUGGAAUUUUUUCUACAUUUUUUUGUGAAGAAUCUUUUUUGGAAAGGAAGGAUACAUAUUUUUGUUGUGUAAUAUUUUCUAUUUUUGAAUGCAUUUUAUUGGUACAAGACUGUUUUUUUGGUGAAGACAUUAUUUAAAAAAAGAAAAAAAGAAAAAAACUAAUCGAAAAGUUUGCCCUUAAGGAUAUGCUGCAGUUUUGAGAUUAAAAAAUAAUAACUGAUUCAAGAUGCGUGUUAAAAGUUGGGAUUAUAUUGUUGUUUUUGUAAUUGUUACAAGAAGAAGUUUGUACCCACUGCUGUUUAUUUUGUUUCAGAUGAGUAAGUAAAGGGAUUGUUCUUGUUUUAUUCUUUUUUUAGAGAAAAAAGCUAUUUAUGAAAUGUCAAAAACACUGGACUGUGAGUUUAAGUGUGGAAGCAUUUUACCACCCUGUGUCUUCAACCAAUUAUGGGAAACCUUUUCUCUCCCCCCCUGCCUUAGCCUUGCCAAAUGAGGAAAACGUAACAGCUCUCAGAUGACGGAAGUCACCGAAGCCCUGCUUUAAUUUUUAUGGUCUGAAAAAGUCGGAAAACCAAAGUUAAAUUUGUUUCUGAAAUCCCGCUGUCUAUAGCCCCUUUUUUGUACAACACAGCCGGCUGGCUCUGCCUCUCUAUCUUGGAUCAUUGCCUUCUUAGGAACGUGGGGCCAGCUCUGCCAAGAGGCGUGAAGGUGGCGAGGUCACAGGAAGUGAGGUGUGAGGGGGACCCCUAGGGCCCCGGAGCUUCUCCAUCCAGAGGCGAGGCUGCCAAGAGCACACACAGCUAACAGUGCCUGGCGGGGUCGCCCCUGUCCCCCUCACCUUCUGCUUCGAAGACCCUCCAGUUACCGUGGCUCUGCCUUUCUCAGCAGCCCACGUUCCGUGGAUGGGAGGGGGUGGGAUCCAAGCAGAAAACACGGCUGUGGGCGCUGCGAAGGCCCCGGCCCUCAGGAGGUAAAGCAAGGGACCACUCAGCACAAGGGCUCUUGCUGCCCGCCUCCUCUUUGACUCUGUGGAUCGUCCAUCCAUCUGCUCACUGUGAAGAUGGAGAGGCAGUGCGCCCUGAGGCUGUUCAAUAGCUUUUCCAUAUUUUUUCAACAUUGAAAAAAUAAUUUUUAAAAACUGUGAUAUUU